GAUGAACGCUAGCUACAGGCUUAACACAUGCAAGUCGAGGGGCAGCAUGGUCUUAGCUUGCUAAGGCCGAUGGCGACCGGCGCACGGGUGAGUAACACGUAUCCAACCUGCCGUCUACUCUUGGACAGCCUUCUGAAAGGAAGAUUAAUACAAGAUGGCAUCAUGAGUCCACAUGUUCACAUGAUUAAAGGUAUUCCGGUAGACGAUGGGGAUGCGUUCCAUUAGAUAGUAGGCGGGGUAACGGCCCACCUAGUCUUCGAUGGAUAGGGGUUCUGAGAGGAAGGUCCCCCACAUUGGAACUGAGACACGGUCCAAACUCCUACGGGAGGCAGCAGUGAGGAAUAUUGGUCAAUGGGCGAGAGCCUGAACCAGCCAAGUAGCGUGAAGGAUGACUGCCCUAUGGGUUGUAAACUUCUUUUAUAAAGGAAUAAAGUCGGGUAUGCAUACCCGUUUGCAUGUACUUUAUGAAUAAGGAUCGGCUAACUCCGUGCCAGCAGCCGCGGUAAUACGGAGGAUCCGAGCAUUAUCCGGAUUUAUUGGGUUUAAAGGGAGCGUAGAUGGAUGUUUAAGUCAGUUGUGAAAGUUUGCGGCUCAACCGUAAAAUUGCAGUUGAUACUGGAUAUCUUGAGUGCAGUUGAGGCAGGCGGAAUUCGUGGUGUAGCGGUGAAAUGCUUAGAUAUCACGAAGAACUCCGAUUGCGAAGGCAGCCUGCUAAGCUGCAACUGACAUUGAGGCUCGAAAGUGUGGGUAUCAAACAGGAUUAGAUACCCUGGUAGUCCACACGGUAAACGAUGAAUACUCGCUGUUUGCGAUAUACGGCAAGCGGCCAAGCGAAAGCGUUAAGUAUUCCACCUGGGGAGUACGCCGGCAACGGUGAAACUCAAAGGAAUUGACGGGGGCCCGCACAAGCGGAGGAACAUGUGGUUUAAUUCGAUGAUACGCGAGGAACCUUACCCGGGCUUAAAUUGCAGAUGAAUUACGGUGAAAGCCGUAAGCCGCAAGGCAUCUGUGAAGGUGCUGCAUGGUUGUCGUCAGCUCGUGCCGUGAGGUGUCGGCUUAAGUGCCAUAACGAGCGCAACCCUUGUUGUCAGUUACUAACAGGUUCCGCUGAGGACUCUGACAAGACUGCCAUCGUAAGAUGUGAGGAAGGUGGGGAUGACGUCAAAUCAGCACGGCCCUUACGUCCGGGGCUACACACGUGUUACAAUGGGGGGUACAGAGGGCCGCUACCACGCGAGUGGAUGCCAAUCCCCAAAACCUCUCUCAGUUCGGACUGGAGUCUGCAACCCGACUCCACGAAGCUGGAUUCGCUAGUAAUCGCGCAUCAGCCACGGCGCGGUGAAUACGUUCCCGGGCCUUGUACACACCGCCCGUCAAGCCAUGGGAGCCGGGGGUACCUGAAGUGCGUAACCGCGAGGAGCGCCCUAGGGUAAAACUGGUGA
RNAcentral lists this ribosomal RNA (1442 nucleotides) under uncultured organism. RNAcentral describes it as "16S ribosomal RNA". It matches the Rfam family "Bacterial small subunit ribosomal RNA". The record is from RNAcentral.